This is a long non-coding RNA of Cannabis sativa, 1294 nucleotides long. RefSeq lists it as uncharacterized. NCBI's taxonomy places the organism in Eukaryota, Viridiplantae, Streptophyta, Magnoliopsida, Rosales, Cannabaceae. The record is from RefSeq and is a predicted model, not a curated record. The transcript is spliced from 2 exons.
UAGUGAGAGGAGAGAAAUCACAAUCUGAAAGGAGACGAUGAAAAUGUAGAAGAGACUAUAAUAUGGGAAAUUUACAUGGUAUACUAACUUUUGUUAUUUUUUUACAAAAAUACUGUCAGGCGGAAUUUUUUACUUUUUUACUGUAUUUUUUUAUAAGUUUCAUACUGCAGUAUACUGUGUUAAGUUUUCACUAGUGUUCUACUAUUGUUUUGAGUUGUUAUGCUUUGUGUUUUACUGGUGUUUUAUAAAAACACAGUAUUUUUGAUAAGAUUUCCGUGUGACAGUAUUUUUGUAAAAAUUAACCCAAAUUUUAAUAUUUUUGUAAGUUUCCACUAUAAUAUUUUAUUUUAAGUUUUCUCCUUUAAAAAAAAAGUUUUCGGAAAAAGAACUUUUAUCCAUAUUUAAACAUUUAUUAAAAUCCCAUACUACACGUUAGUUUCCUCUUUCCUCUUUAGGGAAUACUACGGGCCUGCCGUAGGCCCAAUAUGGCCCAAUAUAUCCCGGCCCAGAAAGCUGAAAGUGAAGCUCAGGAGAUAAACGAUGAUAAUAAUAAGGGAUUGGUGUUGUUAAGGAUAUAUUCUCGUUUCGUGUAUGACUAUGAUUAGCGAGCGAGUUUCUUUCUAUAAUUUUAUUCACUCUCCACUCUUCUCCUUCCCCAAAUUUCGUUCAUCGCUUCAUCUCCUAUUUGGGGUUCUUCUUCUUUAAUAAUAAUAAUUAAUAAUAUUAACUGGGUUUGACCAAAAAUGGCGUCUUUUUAAAGCCAUCAUCGUCCCUUUGGUUCUUAUUCUUCAUCAAAUGAAGUUUUAUCCAACACCCAUUUCUAGAUUUGUCUUUGGUGAUUAGGUACCUUCAUUGUUCUGCUGUUGAUUACAUUGGUCAAUGUUGGUGUUGUGUGUGUAUUAUUUUGUGUCUUUGAGGACCUCUUUUUCAACUAAUGACUUGAUUAGGUAUUGUGUACUGACAAAGUUCAUGGAGAACAAGGUGAAUAAUAUCUUAUGAUAAAGGCAAAGAUUUGAAUUUUUAAUGAUUUUAGAGCUUGAACAUAUAUGAUCAAUCUUCAUUUUCAAUAAAAAGAAAACAGAGAAGGUUAAUAGUUGAGGUGAGUGAGAUGGUUGAAGAGGAGAAAUAAUUGGUAAGGGAGUUGAUACCUCCUAUCCCAUUGCAUAUUAGAAUAAAUAUUUUGAAUUGAAUUUACCAACAAUUAUCUAAUUUCAAACAAAACUUUAUAUGUAUAUAGUGUAUUUACAUCAUAAAAAUGUGAAUGGUUUAUAUAAAGGUUAAAUUUUAUUUUGAA